This 245-nucleotide ribosomal RNA is filed under the name uncultured bacterium. Its description in RNAcentral is "partial 16S ribosomal RNA". It matches the Rfam family "Bacterial small subunit ribosomal RNA", at positions 524 to 768 of the family's 1533-position model. The record is from RNAcentral.
UACGGAGGGUGCAAGCGUUGUCCGGAAUUACUGGGCGUAAAGCGUGUGCAGGCGGCUCGUUAUGUCGGGUGUGAAAUCCCUCGGCUCAACUGAGGAACUGCGCCCGAAACUGGCGAGCUUGAGUGCGGUAGGGGGAGGUGGAAUUCCCGGUGUAGAGGUGAAAUUCGUAGAUAUCGGGAAGAAUACCGGUGGCGAAGGCGACCUCCUGGCCCGUUACUGACGCUCAGACACGAAAGCGUGGGGAG